GCCCUGGUAGCUCAAUUGGCUAGAGCGUGGGACUUUUAUCAUCUCAUCUUAGGAAAGUUUCCUAGAGAUGACGACAAGGGAUCCCAAGGUUGCGGGUUCGACCCCCGCCUGGGGCG
This 116-nucleotide transfer RNA is filed under the name Hypoxylon rubiginosum. RNAcentral's name for it is "tRNA-Lys". It matches the Rfam family "tRNA". From Rfam's summary of the family: Transfer RNA (tRNA) molecules are approximately 80 nucleotides in length. Their secondary structure includes four short double-helical elements and three loops (D, anti-codon, and T loops). Further hydrogen bonds mediate the characteristic L-shaped molecular structure. tRNAs have two regions of fundamental functional importance: the anti-codon, which is responsible for specific mRNA codon recognition, and the 3' end, to which the tRNAs corresponding amino acid is attached (by aminoacyl-tRNA synthetases). tRNAs cope with the degeneracy of the genetic code in two manners: having more than one tRNA (with a specific anti-codon) for a particular amino acid; and 'wobble' base-pairing, i.e. permitting non-standard base-pairing at the 3rd anti-codon position. The record is from RNAcentral. Lineage: Eukaryota; Fungi; Ascomycota; Sordariomycetes; Xylariales; Hypoxylaceae.